AAUAUUUCCUUCAAUAUAUUUCUCAAUAUUUCCUUCAAUAUAUUUUCCAAUAAUUCCUUCAUCUAUAAUAUUUGUUUCAAUUUUUCAAUAAUUUCCUUCAAUAUUUUUUCAAUAAUUUCCUUCAAUAUUUCCUUCAUUUUUUUUCAAAAAAAAUGGCCUCAUCUGCAAUGAAAGGUAGGGCUUGGACCCGAAAAGAAGAUGAAGCUCUUUGCAAGACUUAUAGAUGGGUCUCAGAAGAUAGUGUGAGGGGGA
Molecule: long non-coding RNA, 252 nt
Filed under: Malus domestica (apple)
Lineage: Eukaryota; Viridiplantae; Streptophyta; Magnoliopsida; Rosales; Rosaceae
Description: long non-coding RNA (MDOM_LNC013904)
Source: RNAcentral